ACAGCAUCCCCUCCGCUGAACAUGAGACCGGCGUUCUUCUCGCUCACCCUGACUGCCUGUGUGUGUGUGUCUGUAAUGGUGGAUUGUAGACCAAGGGUCCAGGACACAGAGCAUCUUCCACAUCAUCAUCAUCAUCAGCACAUCGGAGGGGCAUCUGCUGACACGGGACAUUUUUACUCUGAACUAAGCGGAUCAAUAAAACGGGUUCACAGAAAAUAUCUGGUUGUUUUGCCAGUAACAACAGAUACAAGCAACAUUGUGUCAAUAUUUGACUUGAGAAGACAACGGUACCUCUGUAUGAACCUAAAGAAAGAGCUGUACGUCUCUAGGCACAUGGACAAAGAGGACUGCCUCUUCCAGCACAUUUUUUUAGACCUGCUGAGCCACUAUGACACGUUUUACUCUGCAAGUGGGGGCAAGCUGCUCAAACUGGAGCGAACUAUAGACUCCUCGGCUCUGCUGCACAGAUUCCUGGGUCCCUUGGUAAAGAGGCA
Molecule: long non-coding RNA, 494 nt
Organism: Solea solea (common sole)
Lineage: Eukaryota; Metazoa; Chordata; Actinopteri; Pleuronectiformes; Soleidae
Exons: 3
Source: RefSeq, a predicted model, not a curated record